UUAAGCGACUAAGCGUACACGGUGGAUGCCCUGGCAGUCAGAGGCGAUGAAGGACGUGCUAAUCUGCGAUAAGCGUCGGUAAGGUGAUAUGAACCGUUAUAACCGGCGAUUUCCGAAUGGGGAAACCCAGUGUGAUUCGUCACACUAUCAUUAACUGAAUCCAUAGGUUAAUGAGGCGAACCGGGGGAACUGAAACAUCUAAGUACCCCGAGGAAAAGAAAUCAACCGAGAUUCCCCCAGUAGCGGCGAGCGAACGGGGAGGAGCCCAGAGCCUGAAUCAGUGUGUGUGUUAGUGGAAGCGUCUGGAAAGGCGCGCGAUACAGGGUGACAGCCCCGUACACAAAAAUGCACAUAUUGUGAGCUCGAUGAGUAGGGCGGGACACGUGGUAUCCUGUCUGAAUAUGGGGGGACCAUCCUCCAAGGCUAAAUACUCCUGACUGACCGAUAGUGAACCAGUACCGUGAGGGAAAGGCGAAAAGAACCCCGGCGAGGGGAGUGAAAAAGAACCUGAAACCGUGUACGUACAAGCAGUGGGAGCACGCUUAGGCGUGUGACUGCGUACCUUUUGUAUAAUGGGUCAGCGACUUAUAUUCUGUAGCAAGGUUAACCGAAUAGGGGAGCCGAAGGGAAACCGAGUCUUAACUGGGCGUUAAGUUGCAGGGUAUAGACCCGAAACCCGGUGAUCUAGCCAUGGGCAGGUUGAAGGUUGGGUAACACUAACUGGAGGACCGAACCGACUAAUGUUGAAAAAUUAGCGGAUGACUUGUGGCUGGGGGUGAAAGGCCAAUCAAACCGGGAGAUAGCUGGUUCUCCCCGAAAGCUAUUUAGGUAGCGCCUCGUGAAUUCAUCUCCGGGGGUAGAGCACUGUUUCGGCAAGGGGGUCAUCCCGACUUACCAACCCGAUGCAAACUGCGAAUACCGGAGAAUGUUAUCACGGGAGACACACGGCGGGUGCUAACGUCCGUCGUGAAGAGGGAAACAACCCAGACCGCCAGCUAAGGUCCCAAAGUCAUGGUUAAGUGGGAAACGAUGUGGGAAGGCCCAGACAGCCAGGAUGUUGGCUUAGAAGCAGCCAUCAUUUAAAGAAAGCGUAAUAGCUCACUGGUCGAGUCGGCCUGCGCGGAAGAUGUAACGGGGCUAAACCAUGCACCGAAGCUGCGGCAGCGACGCUGAUGCGUUGUUGGGUAGGGGAGCGUUCUGUAAGCCUGCGAAGGUGUGCUGUGAGGCAUGCUGGAGGUAUCAGAAGUGCGAAUGCUGACAUAAGUAACGAUAAAGCGGGUGAAAAGCCCGCUCGCCGGAAGACCAAGGGUUCCUGUCCAACGUUAAUCGGGGCAGGGUGAGUCGACCCCUAAGGCGAGGCCGAAAGGCGUAGUCGAUGGGAAACAGGUUAAUAUUCCUGUACUUGGUGUUACUGCGAAGGGGGGACGGAGAAGGCUAUGUUGGCCGGGCGACGGUUGUCCCGGUUUAAGCGUGUAGGCUGGUUUUCCAGGCAAAUCCGGAAAAUCAAGGCUGAGGCGUGAUGACGAGGCACUACGGUGCUGAAGCAACAAAUGCCCUGCUUCCAGGAAAAGCCUCUAAGCAUCAGGUAACAUCAAAUCGUACCCCAAACCGACACAGGUGGUCAGGUAGAGAAUACCAAGGCGCUUGAGAGAACUCGGGUGAAGGAACUAGGCAAAAUGGUGCCGUAACUUCGGGAGAAGGCACGCUGAUAUGUAGGUGAGGUCCCUCGCGGAUGGAGCUGAAAUCAGUCGAAGAUACCAGCUGGCUGCAACUGUUUAUUAAAAACACAGCACUGUGCAAACACGAAAGUGGACGUAUACGGUGUGACGCCUGCCCGGUGCCGGAAGGUUAAUUGAUGGGGUUAGCGCAAGCGAAGCUCUUGAUCGAAGCCCCGGUAAACGGCGGCCGUAACUAUAACGGUCCUAAGGUAGCGAAAUUCCUUGUCGGGUAAGUUCCGACCUGCACGAAUGGCGUAAUGAUGGCCAGGCUGUCUCCACCCGAGACUCAGUGAAAUUGAACUCGCUGUGAAGAUGCAGUGUACCCGCGGCAAGACGGAAAGACCCCGUGAACCUUUACUAUAGCUUGACACUGAACAUUGAGCCUUGAUGUGUAGGAUAGGUGGGAGGCUUGGAAGUGUGGACGCCAGUCUGCAUGGAGCCGACCUUGAAAUACCACCCUUUAAUGUUUGAUGUUCUAACGUUGACCCGUAAUCCGGGUUGCGGACAGUGUCUGGUGGGUAGUUUGACUGGGGCGGUCUCCUCCUAAAGAGUAACGGAGGAGCACGAAGGUUGGCUAAUCCUGGUCGGACAUCAGGAGGUUAGUGCAAUGGCAUAAGCCAGCUUGACUGCGAGCGUGACGGCGCGAGCAGGUGCGAAAGCAGGUCAUAGUGAUCCGGUGGUUCUGAAUGGAAGGGCCAUCGCUCAACGGAUAAAAGGUACUCCGGGGAUAACAGGCUGAUACCGCCCAAGAGUUCAUAUCGACGGCGGUGUUUGGCACCUCGAUGUCGGCUCAUCACAUCCUGGGGCUGAAGUAGGUCCCAAGGGUAUGGCUGUUCGCCAUUUAAAGUGGUACGCGAGCUGGGUUUAGAACGUCGUGAGACAGUUCGGUCCCUAUCUGCCGUGGGCGCUGGAGAACUGAGGGGGGCUGCUCCUAGUACGAGAGGACCGGAGUGGACGCAUCACUGGUGUUCGGGUUGUCAUGCCAAUGGCACUGCCCGGUAGCUAAAUGCGGAAGAGAUAAGUGCUGAAAGCAUCUAAGCACGAAACUUGCCCCGAGAUGAGUUCUCCCUGACUCCUUGAGAGUCCUGAAGGAACGUUGAAGACGACGACGUUGAUAGGCCGGGUGUGUAAGCGCAGCGAUGCGUUGAGCUAACCGGUACUAAUGAACCGUGAGGCUUAACCUU
Molecule: ribosomal RNA, 2902 nt
Filed under: Escherichia coli
Lineage: Bacteria; Pseudomonadati; Pseudomonadota; Gammaproteobacteria; Enterobacterales; Enterobacteriaceae
Also listed under: 1 other name
Description: 23S ribosomal RNA
Rfam family: Bacterial large subunit ribosomal RNA
Source: RNAcentral